RNAcentral lists this ribosomal RNA (253 nucleotides) under uncultured bacterium. RNAcentral's name for it is "partial 16S ribosomal RNA". It matches the Rfam family "Bacterial small subunit ribosomal RNA", at positions 524 to 776 of the family's 1533-position model. The record is from RNAcentral.
UACGAAGGGGGCUAGCGUUGCUCGGAAUCACUGGGCGUAAAGCGCACGUAGGCGGAUUGCUAAGUCAGGGGUGAAAUCCUGGAGCUCAACUCCAGAACUGCCUUUGAUACUGGCGAUCUUGAGUCCGGGAGAGGUGAGUGGAACUGCGAGUGUAGAGGUGAAAUUCGUAGAUAUUCGCAAGAACACCAGUGGCGAAGGCGGCUCACUGGCCCGGUACUGACGCUGAGACGCGAAAGCGUGGGGAGCGAACAGG